RNAcentral lists this ribosomal RNA (501 nucleotides) under uncultured bacterium. RNAcentral describes it as "partial 16S ribosomal RNA". It matches the Rfam family "Bacterial small subunit ribosomal RNA", at positions 30 to 523 of the family's 1533-position model. The record is from RNAcentral.
AUUGAACGCUGGCGGCAGGCUUAACACAUGCAAGUCGAGCGGGGGGAGGUAGCUUGCUACCGGACCUAGCGGCGGACGGGUGAGUAAUGCUUAGGAAUCUGCCUAUUAGUGGGGGACAACAUCUCGAAAGGGAUGCUAAUACCGCAUACGUCCUACGGGAGAAAGCAGGGGAUCUUCGGACCUUGCGCUAAUAGAUGAGCCUAGGUCGGAUUAGCUAGUUGGUGGGGUAAGGGCCUACCAAGGCGACGAUCUGUAGCGGGUCUGAGAGGAUGUUCCGCCACACUGGGACUGGAACACGGCCCAGACUCCUACGGGAGGCAGCAGUGGGGAAUAUUGGACAAUGGGGGGAACCCUGAUCCAGCCAUUCCGCGUGUGUGAAGAAGGCCUUAUGGUUGUAAAGCACUUUAAGCGAGGAGGAGGCUACUUUAGUUAAUACCUAGAGAUAGUGGACGUUACUCGCAGAAUAAGCACCGGCUAACUCUGUGCCAGCAGCCGCAGUAA